Long non-coding RNA from Selaginella moellendorffii, 208 nucleotides. RefSeq lists it as uncharacterized. Lineage: Eukaryota; Viridiplantae; Streptophyta; Lycopodiopsida; Selaginellales; Selaginellaceae. The record is from RefSeq and is a predicted model, not a curated record. The transcript has 3 exons.
GCCACAAUUGCUCGACUAAAUGGCUCGCACCAGGUGCGCUCUUCAUCUUGGAUGCCAAGCCUGGUGGCGUUGUGUUUAAGGAGCUCGUUUCGGAAUGGGUUGAUGUGGUCAGAACCAUCUACGAGAGCGAUUUUGGGAGAACUGUGAUUGAUGUUAAUUAUUUCAACGUGGAUGGUUGUCAAAUCUUCCUCACAUAGUUGUAUUGCCA